CAUAGACAGAGCAGCCCCGAGGACUGCUGGUUGCCCAUUUUUAUGGUUAUUUCUUAAUGAUAUGCUAAACAUCGGGUGGAUUAUUCACGCCUCCCCUUUUUAGACCAUAUAGGGUAACUUCCUGACGUUGCCAUGGCAUUUGUAACUGUCAUGGCCCUGGUGAGAGUGUAGCAGCGAGGACGACCAGAGGUCACUCUCAUCGCUAUCUUGGUUUUGGUGGGUUUUGGGCGGCUUCUUUAUUGCAAGCUGUUUUAUCGGCAAGGUUUUUAUGACCUGUAUCUUGUACCGACCUCCUAUCUCAUCCUGUGACUAAGAAUGCCUUAACUUACUGGGAAUGUAGCCCAACCGGUCUUAGCCUUAGUUUAGAGAGUCCCUAUUCAAGAUGGAAUUGCUCUGGUUCAAACACACCUGACACUACCCCCCAGGCCGAGGACGGGGUCCCCAGGGGCAGGCGAGCCUCCACAGAUCCGGGGCCAUUCAUCUCUGCAGCGGCCGCAGCCAGCCGCCAGGGUGCCCUGCUCCCAGGUGUAGCCAAAAUGGCCCUGAGUCUGUUUCCACCAGGCCCGGGAGCGAGAAGAGGCGCAAGACGCUGAUUGGGCCAGGCACCGGCACACGCAAGUAGCGGUAUGGAGGAGGCAAGAAUCUGGUUGGGCAAGACAAGGAACUAACCGGGCAGGCGAGACGCUGAUUGGAUGAGGCAGGUUGCUUAUUUGCCAAAGCGUGACUCUUACCCGGCAACGUGUGUCGCCGCUUGAUCGCAGCGGUGCGGUGAUUGGGUAGGUCAGUUCUGGCGGGCCGCGCGCGCGGGCUUUGGGGACGUGUCGUUUCCGGCCUCCAGCGUGAAGCCGACUGUGGGCUCUGGAAUAGUCGGCGGUUGUGUGUCCUGGUGCUCGAAGCUUAGCCGGGCGACGCUUCGGGAGAGAGGCAGAACCAGCCUCCCAGAGUUGUGGGCUCGGCUGGAUCGCGACUCCGCCAUUAACCCCUCCGCCAACGUCCCCGCUUGUCGUCCUCCCUCGGGCCCUGGUCAGCCUCCCCAGGGCCUGCAGCCUUUGACGCACUUCGAGGUGGAGACCUGGCCUUGGAAAGUACCCGGGGAGCCACUCCGUAGCCUGUGCAAUGAGGAUGGACCCUCCUCACUCGGACCCAUGCUGGCCAUGCUGAAUGGCCCCGCAAAUUCUCGCGAGCUGCGAGGGAAGCAUUGUUGAUCCUCUUGAGAACAUCAGACAGGAUAUUCAUCCGCACCUUGACGACGGCACCAAAGGAUGGUGGAAAGAGAGAUUUUUAAAAAAUCAAAUCUUCUGUUACUUUGUAUUCAGAAGAAAACUAUGCAAAGAUUAACAUAAAAUUAAAAGUAUGGAAAUCCAGAUUUUAGUAAAACCUAUUAAAAU
RNAcentral lists this long non-coding RNA (1388 nucleotides) under Homo sapiens (human). Its description in RNAcentral is "HSALNT0398993". The record is from RNAcentral. Lineage: Eukaryota; Metazoa; Chordata; Mammalia; Primates; Hominidae.